This 212-nucleotide long non-coding RNA is filed under the name Lathyrus oleraceus (garden pea). Its description in RNAcentral is "Pisum sativum (pea) long non-coding RNA (PSAT_LNC012067)". The record is from RNAcentral. Lineage: Eukaryota; Viridiplantae; Streptophyta; Magnoliopsida; Fabales; Fabaceae.
GGAUGCUAGGUAUUAGGGGAAAACUAAGGCAAUCCGUUUACAACCCAACUGGAUCAAAUACAUAACCCAAGCCCAAAACUAACGACCAAAAACUAAAAUAAAACUAAUGCUGCAGCUUCAAACGAAAUUCUGGAAAAUAAGCGCUCCGAAUCUGACUUCGACUCCAACACGAAAGUUGUAGCUCUUUCUCUUAGCUUUCCGGGGAUUAUUAU